Molecule: ribosomal RNA, 253 nt
Filed under: uncultured bacterium
Lineage: Bacteria
Description: partial 16S ribosomal RNA
Rfam family: Bacterial small subunit ribosomal RNA
Source: RNAcentral
UACGAGAGCCCCAAGCGUUAUCCGGAAUCAUUGGGCGUAAAGGGUGUGUAGGUGGUUUGAUUAGUCAGUUGUUAAAACCCGGAGCUUAACUCCGGAACCGCGAUUGAAACGGUCAAACUAGAGGGUGCGAGGGAUGUGUGGAACUCAUGGAGUAGGGGUGAAAUCCGUUGAUAUCAUGGGGAACACCGAAAGCGAAGGCAGCACAUUGGCGCAUUCCUGACACUGAAACACGAAAGCGUGGGUAGCGAAUGGG